RNAcentral lists this ribosomal RNA (253 nucleotides) under uncultured bacterium. RNAcentral describes it as "partial 16S ribosomal RNA". It matches the Rfam family "Bacterial small subunit ribosomal RNA", at positions 524 to 776 of the family's 1533-position model. The record is from RNAcentral.
UACGAAGGGGGCUAGCGUUGUUCGGAAUUACUGGGCGUAAAGCGUGCGCAGGCGGUUCUUCAAGUCAGUGGUGAAAGCCCGGAGCUCAACUCCGGAACUGCCAUUGAAACUGUAGAGCUAGAGUACGAGAGAGGUGAGUGGAAUUCCCAGUGUAGAGGUGAAAUUCGUAGAUAUUGGGAAGAACACCGGUGGCGAAGGCGGCUCACUGGCUCGUAACUGACGCUCAUGCACGACAGCGUGGGGAUCAAACAGG